UCCGUAGGUGACCUGCGGAAGGAUCAUUAAUGAAUUUUAUGGCGGAAUUGUAGCUGGCCCCAACCGGGCAUGUGCACAUUCUGUUCAUUCCAUUCUCAUACACCUCUGUGCACUUUACAUAGGUUUGGUAUAGAAAAGGUCUUUAUUGACUUUGGAAAUACUGACCUAUGCUUUUAUAAACGCUUCAGUUUUAGAAUGUCAUCCGCGUAUAACGCAAUAAAUACAACUUUCAGCAACGGAUCUCUUGGCUCUCGCAUCGAUGAAGAACGCAGCGAAAUGCGAUAAGUAAUGUGAAUUGCAGAAUUCAGUGAAUCAUCGAAUCUUUGAACGCAUCUUGCGCCCUUUGGUAUUCCGAAGGGCAUGCCUGUUUGAGUGUCGUGGUAUUCUCAAUACCCCAAAUCUUUGCGGAUAAGGGUGUGUUGGACUUGGAGGUUUUUGCAGGUAAUGAUUGUAUUACCAGCUCCUCUUAAAUGCAUUAGCAGAGAUAAUACUGCUACUCUCCAGUGUGAUAAUUGUCUACACUGUUAGUAGUGCGGUAUAACAAAAUGUCUAUGCUUCUAAUCGUCUUCGGACAACUUUUGACAAUCUGACCUCAAAUCAGGUAGGACUGCCCGCUGAACUUAAGCAUAU
Molecule: ribosomal RNA, 630 nt
Filed under: uncultured fungus
Lineage: Eukaryota; Fungi
Description: eukaryotic LSU rRNA
Rfam family: 5.8S ribosomal RNA (bases 225-378)
Source: RNAcentral